GGCUUUACAACUAUUAAAAUCUUAUCGUUUAAAUAUGAACAAAAAGCUUCUAAAAUUAUUUCAAUUUUUGUCUAAGAAACAAGCCUUAAAUAAUUUGCAUGUAUCCUGUGAAAAAAGGGAUCAAUUGAGAAUUUUACAAGUGAAUCUUUAGAUCUUCUUUCAUGCCAAAGAUGAUGAAAUUUCAGCACUGAUGACAAUUAACUCAGAGAGUUUAACACAAAAAAAGGUAGGUUUAAAGGUGUGCACAUAUAACAGUACAUCUUAAGACAACACAUUAAAGGCAUCCCCAUCAGGUACAUAUGCAAGUAAAAAACACAAAAGACAAUUGAAGAAGAUCAUGAAAGAACCCCUGAGCAAGAAAAGAUGGAUGCAGCUAAGAAGAGUUCCUGGGCAGAUAUUUGACAAUAAAAACAUGAAAAUAAUCUAUGACUGAUAGCUAUGUAGUACAAUACUAUGAUUUAGAAACUGAAGAUCACCAAAACUCACAGUAGCAAAUUCACACCAACGACUAAUCUCACUCAGCCUCUCCAAAGGGGAGAUAGAAUGAUGCCCACAUUAUAUAAAAAAAACCCAAUGAUAAUGCACCCAGCAGCUCGACGACAUAUUCCCUAAAAUAAUACAAUCAAACCAGGGAAGGUACCAGAAAAGAACUCUUGCACCUGUUUUCAUGUUGUUCAGGUUGAAAUAUGUGUUUGAUGGAACAAAAUAUAGAUAAUCAAGUACCCAAGUUUAUCUCAACAAGGCAUGUGAUGAACCCAAAGUAAAGAUAAGUCAAAGAACACAGAUUGCAGAAUUUCCAGAUUUAAUUUUUCAAAUUCAGUCUAAAACAAGAAAUUUCACCAAAUCAUGCGUUCAGAGCUAAAGAUGACAGUGAAGAAAAAUAGCAUUGAUGACCAACUGAAGGCUAAUUGUGGAUUGAGCAGCAAUAUAAUGGUUCUUACAACAUGAAGCCAGAAAUGAGAUCAGAAUAGGGGAUUGCUAUUAACAAAAGGGAUAGAGCUACACAUCUGCAAUAAGUUUGUAGAGCAUGCAUGACCUAGCAUCAGAAUGACCUUCUAGCAUAAAGGGAAGGAAAAGAGCAAAGAUGAAUAACAGAGACAAAGAUUGAACUAAUAACAAAUAAAGAAAAAAAAAGGUAGCCUGAACACUUUUGUACCUAAGACCCCCUCUCAGAGAUCUGACCACGUGAUAGGACCUUUGUGCCUCAAAUUUGAAACACAUCACAAGCAGAAAAGAAAGAACCACUUGUGUCAUCACCCUUUGAAAUUAGUAAUGCAAUAUUUAUGAGAAACGAAAAAUAAUUCAACCUAUACUUUUCUUUUUUAAUUCAACCUAUACAUAUGGAGUUAUAAUUGUGCAAUGGGAAACCACGGUGGCUGAUAUCAGCCUGAUAUCAGCCUUCAUCGCACUUAGUGAACAGUCAAUCACCCCACCCUUCUAGUCUCUCACUGUUCCAUUUCUAAUUGUCUCCAUCAGUACAUGCAAAGGACUAAAGACUAGCUACAACAUAAGGUCAAUAUAAUGUCCAAAUUACAUAGGUAGGUUAGCAGCAGCUCUAGAUAGUACUAAAAUCUUACGUAGCGGAUGAUAGUCGAAAAAGAAAUAAGCCAAAAAAAGUUUUAAU
Molecule: long non-coding RNA, 1624 nt
Filed under: Musa acuminata (dwarf banana)
Lineage: Eukaryota; Viridiplantae; Streptophyta; Magnoliopsida; Zingiberales; Musaceae
Description: long non-coding RNA (MACU_LNC003694)
Source: RNAcentral